GUGGGGAAUCUUGCGCAAUGGGCGAAAGCCUGACGCAGCCAUGCCGCGUGAAUGAUGAAGGUCUUAGGAUUGUAAAAUUCUUUCACCGGGGACGAUAAUGACGGUACCCGGAGAAGAAGCCCCGGCUAACUUCGUGCCAGCAGCCGCGGUAAUACGAAGGGGGCUAGCGUUGCUCGGAAUUACUGGGCGUAAAGGGCGCGUAGGCGGACAGUUUAGUCAGAGGUGAAAGCCCAGGGCUCAACCUUGGAAUUGCCUUUGAUACUUGCUGUCUUGAGUACGGGAGAGGUGAGUGGAACUCCGAGUGGAGAGGUGAAAUUCGUAGAUAUUCGGAAGAACACCAGUGGCGAAGGCGACUCACUGGCCCGUUACUGACGCUGAGGCGCGAAAGCGUGGGGAGCAAACAGGAUUAGAUACCCUGGUAGUCC
RNAcentral lists this ribosomal RNA (425 nucleotides) under uncultured bacterium. RNAcentral describes it as "bacterial SSU rRNA". It matches the Rfam family "Bacterial small subunit ribosomal RNA", at positions 354 to 796 of the family's 1533-position model. The record is from RNAcentral.